Gossypium hirsutum (cotton) is the source of this 145-nucleotide non-coding RNA. NCBI's taxonomy places the organism in Eukaryota, Viridiplantae, Streptophyta, Magnoliopsida, Malvales, Malvaceae. The record is from Rfam.
AGUUAAAAAUUCCAUCCAAUUGUACUGUUAAAAAUUGACAUAGUUGACGAAAUAACCAGAUAAUGACAUGUGACGUACCAUGUGUACCUCAUGUUGAUAUAUAUGAACCAGUUUUUAACAAUAAAAAUGAAUAGAAUUUUUAACA